Molecule: ribosomal RNA, 467 nt
Filed under: Neolasioptera vernoniae
Lineage: Eukaryota; Metazoa; Arthropoda; Insecta; Diptera; Cecidomyiidae
Description: partial large subunit ribosomal RNA
Rfam family: Eukaryotic large subunit ribosomal RNA
Source: RNAcentral
CGAAACCGAUAGCGAACAAGUACCGUGAGGGAAAGUUGAAAAGUACUCUGAAUAGAGAGUUAAAUAGUACGUGAAACCGCUUAGGGGUUAAGCCCGAUGAACCCGAAUAUCUGAUGUGAGAAAUUCAAUAUUAUUCAUUGAAUUUUUUUCUUCAUUUUCAAUGAAUUAUAUGCACUUUUCUCAUAGUAAGACAUUGUAAUCCAUUGAUAUUAUAUCUUUAUUUGUUUAAAGAUGAUUUAACAUACGGACAAAAUGUUUAUGAUUAUUCUAUCAAUGAUGUGUUUUACAUGUCAUAUGAAUAAAAUCGUUUUGUACCUGUUUAAAUAGUCGAUGGAUUUUUCAAUUAAAAUCAUGCUUGCAAUUUAUUUUGCGUUUCGUAUCGUUAAUUUUUAAUUGAUGAUAGCAGAAAUGGCAUGUAUUUGAUUAACAAUGCGAUAGAUUUGGGAUACUUUCAGGACCCGUCUUGA